AACGCGAAGAACCUUACCAGCCCUUGACAUCCCGGUCGCGGGAACGAGAGAUCGAUCCCUUCAGUUCGGCUGGACCGGAGACAGGUGCUGCAUGGCUGUCGUCAGCUCGUGUCGUGAGAUGUUGGGUUAAGUCCCGCAACGAGCGCAACCCUCGCCCUUAGUUGCCAUCAUUCAGUUGGGCACUCUAAGGGGACUGCCGGUGAUAAGCCGCGAGGAAGGUGGGGAUGACGUCAAGUCCUCAUGGCCCUUACGGGCUGGGCUACACACGUGCUACAAUGGCGGUGACAGUGGGACGCAAUGGGGCAACCCUGCGCAAAUCUCAAAAAGCCGUCUCAGUUCGGAUUGUGCUCUGCAACUCGAGCACAUGAAGUCGGAAUCGCUAGUAAUCGCAGAUCAGCACGCUGCGGUGAAUACGUUCCCGGGCCUUGUA
RNAcentral lists this ribosomal RNA (430 nucleotides) under uncultured Alphaproteobacteria bacterium. RNAcentral describes it as "bacterial SSU rRNA". It matches the Rfam family "Bacterial small subunit ribosomal RNA", at positions 958 to 1385 of the family's 1533-position model. The record is from RNAcentral. Lineage: Bacteria; Pseudomonadati; Pseudomonadota; Alphaproteobacteria.